This 253-nucleotide ribosomal RNA is filed under the name uncultured bacterium. RNAcentral describes it as "partial 16S ribosomal RNA". It matches the Rfam family "Bacterial small subunit ribosomal RNA", at positions 524 to 776 of the family's 1533-position model. The record is from RNAcentral.
UACGAAGGGGGCUAGCGGUGUUCGGAAUUACUGGGCGUAAAGCGCACGUAGGCGGCCUUGUAAGUUGGGGGUGAAAUCCCGGGGCUCAACUCCGGAACUGCCUUCAAGACUGCAAAGCUAGAGGACGCGAGAGGUUAGCGGAAUUCCGAGUGUAGAGGUGAAAUUCGUAGAUAUUCGGAAGAACACCAGUGGCGAAGGCGGCUAACUGGCGCGUUUCUGACGCUGAGGUGCUAAAGCGUGGGGAGCAAACAGG